Molecule: long non-coding RNA, 4198 nt
Filed under: Homo sapiens (human)
Lineage: Eukaryota; Metazoa; Chordata; Mammalia; Primates; Hominidae
Description: HSALNT0173527
Source: RNAcentral
CACUCUGUCGCCCAGGGCUUGAGUGCAGUGGCAUGAUCUCAGCUCACUGCAAUCUCCACCUUCUGGGUUCAAGCAAUUCUCCUGCUCAGCCUUCUGAGUAUCUGGGAUCGCAGUUGUGCACCACCACGCCCAGGAAAAAUUGAGUGGUAACUGAAGAUGGCAAAACACCGCAUCAGAACGACUCAGUCACAGUGGCAAUUGUUUUGAAAGAUGAUGAAAGAAGGGCUAGCCUGAAAGAAACUUCUGCCUUCUUUGGAAAUGAGAUGCAAAAAGUAUGGCUCCCUGCUACAACAAAAAUGGAUCCCCCAAGGAGGACAUAACUGGAAUUGCUGUCAUUGUUACCCCUUUGAAAAUCUCAGCCAGCUAGAGGACCAGAGACAUUCUCAUCAAGAUUAAAGCCAGAGCAACCACCACCAACAAAUGAUGACAAAUCCCUGCCAGGAUUGGAGUGGGUUUGAAUGGCAUAGCUGGCCCCUGGUACUCCUGAGUGGUUAGAUCGUCAGUCUUACCUGUUCAUUUUGUUAACCUCAUAGUAGUACAGCAACAUAUUUUACUUGUUUGAAUUGUUUGUGUUAGAAUCAGGUAUUAACCUUGUAGGCAACAUGGAUAAUAUAUUUCUGUAGUUCAACAUAAUUUCCAUUUUAAAUUCACAAUUUAUUAGAGCAGCAGAAAAUAAUGUCAAUAAAAUUGAAGCCUCUUUUUCUUAAGGGAUUGUGCCUAAGGAGCUUACUUAAUUCCAAGACUGGGUGUGUGGUGAGGAGGGGAGAAAAUGGAGAGGACGCUAUGCCUCAUUAUUUCCUAAGAUGCUCAUCAUUCCAAAUGAUCAUCCAUCACUGGUCUUAAGGUCACUUUUGUCUUCUGGUCUCUUUGGGUCUGAAAGAUCUCUGCUAUGUCCAUUAUUCAGGUGGGGGUUUGGAAAUAACUGCAACCUAUCUAGAAACUCAUCUGCCAAAUGAACUUCGCAACAAUUUCCUAUGUGGGGGCAUAUCACCUUCCUGAGACUCUGCCUGAGGUAAAGGCACAGAGCCUCACUCCCUUGAUCAAGCUUCCUUCCAUCCUUCUUACUCCAACCUGUUUUCUGUUUGCCACAGAAAUCUCACCUUCUUUCAGAGACACAAAGGGAACUCUACCCCAAGAUCAAUUUUAUAAAGGCUCAUAAUUCCAGUUCUCUCUUGAUAAUAGAGCAGUCUCGAAAUCAGUUACUAAAUGUAGGGUGGAUUAAUUUUAGAUCUUGUGUAUAGGACUUGGUCUGAAUCCUUUAAAAUCGUAGGUAUAUACUUUACAUAAGCCUUACCCCAAGGGCAGCCAUAAUUUUCUUUCAACCAUAUUUUGUAGGCUGGUGAGUCCUGCACCUGCCCCAAGUUUCAGGCAAUUAACUUGACUGUGGUCUCCUGCCAUGCACACUGAGCUUUAGCUCUCAUUAAUCUGUGGGAGACAAAUUCUAGCUUCCUCUAGACUGAGAACCAGCAGGCCUAGCUCCAGUCUCUAAUCACUAACUUAUCACUGUGACAUUUUUUUCCCUUUCUGGUCUGUGGAGAUAUUUCUCUUCUUUUGAGUUUACCAUAUCUUAGUCAUUUUGCCAUUCUUUAAAAUUAUUCUUUGACUGCUAAGCUUGGAGUUGAUGGAGAAGUUCAAGCCUAAACUCAUAAUGUCAUCCUGACCCUUGGUCCCAAACUGUUGGUAUCUGAUUAUCUAGUUCUCAGGGUGAAUUUGGAUAUUUGUAGACUUGAAGGCCCAAAUAGACAAGUGGACACUCCAUGUUAAUCAUAGCCCAACUUAUCCUAGAAAGAAAAUUAAGUUUAAUUAAGUUCCUCAAUAUAUUUCACCUAAGAUGCAAGAACAAAUAAACCCUGAAAAAUAUUUUUUAUAGUGAAGCCCUUGCUCAGAGAAAAAACAGAACAAAACCUCAAGAACUGUGAUUAAUUAUACUAAAGGAUAUUUUCAGGCAUGGACUUGUCUUGAAAACGUGCUGUUGGGCCUAAUUGUAUUUACAGUUCACACUCAUAUAUAGAGCACUGGUAGACCAGUCAGUGAGUGAAUGAUUAUAGUCCUAUUUUUGGCUUGAACAUUCAUCAAUGUGUGAGUGUUGGCAGGAAAGCCACUAAACUUUUCACAGUAUGUCUUCUCAUUGUAAAAUGGAAAUAUUAAUUCCUGCCAUUAUUGUGGUAUGGUUAUGAAGAACAAACAAAACACAGCCAAAUGAUGCUAUAAAUCUGUUUUGAGAUUAUCCCUGGCACAUUUACCUAGUAAAAUUUUGCAUUCAUUUUGCAUAGUAAAAUGAAUAGUUGUUAUUUUAAAAGAGGGUAAAAAAAAUAAGCUAAGUAAUUCAAGAAUCUAAAAACAACUAUAAAAUAAGCAAUACAUUAAACAAAUAUUAAAAUUACUUAACCAAAAAGAAAGCUAUUUUGUUUAAAAGAUUAGUAGAAUUAAGACGAGAUUUUAAAUGUCUCUUUCUACUGAGGUUAAUGCUAAAAAAUUGUAUCUUUGAGUUUUUUUUUCUUUUUUUAGAAAAUGAUAGUGGAAAAAUUUUUAUCAGAAGAAAGCUUAAAAGCAUAGGUAAAAUUAGCCUUUUUUUCUAGAGAAAAUAUAAGUAUCAAAAAUGACAGAAGGAAUAGAUCAAUUAAAUACUGUAAAGAGUAUAUAGCUAAAAAUAAUCAAUUCCCAAUGUCUCAAAAUUCACCUUAUAGUACUAAUUAUAACUGUGGCCAAAUCUCCAAGGUACAGAUAAUGCUUAUAUAUUAUGACCUUUCCAGACACUAUAAAAAGAGGACAACCUGUCAAGAAAGUUUAUUACUAUCUUUGGUUUUUCAUGUUAUGAUUGUUUAUCUGCUAAGAAAUUAUUGGAACUGUUAUUACAGUUUGUUAUUAAUGCCAAAAAUUAGAUCGAUAUGCAAAGGCCAAUGGAAGAAAUAGUUAGCAACAAUAAGAGAAAAAAGUAUAUAGAGAAAAAAUAUCUAAAAUAUCAGAAAAACCUUUAUGAUAUCAAAGAAUGUAAUAAAAGUAAAACCAUUAUAGAAUAAUAAUUUUUAAAAUAUUUGUGAAAGAUAUGUAUGAAUACCAAAACAGGUGGUAAAAAUCUUGUUAUGGAUAAGAAAAUUCACGGCCAUAAAGCUGUCAAUUUUUUUCAAAAUUAAAGGGCAACCUCCCUCUAGGAUUUUUAAUGUACAUACUAACUUGGUGCAAAAGUCAUUGCAGUUUUUGCCAUUACUUUAAUAGCAAAAACUAAAAAUAACCAAAAUGUCUGGUAGGGGGUCUGCCUGAGCAAGUAUUAAAACAUAAGUAACAAUAAUUAAAGCAGCAUUAUAUUGGCACAGAAAUAGGUAUGAAGGAAUUAAGAGCUGAGGUAGAGUCUCAAGUUUAUACAUAAUUUUUUAUUGUUGAACAAUUCUAUGGAGAUAAGUUUUGCAUACAAAAAUUUCAUGUUUAAAGAAAUAAUUUGGUGUUUUGAGAUAUGUAUUUAUGCAUGUUAAAAAAUUGAUCACUCACAAAAAUUUCCUCCACUUUGUACUCUCUUUCUUAGAGUCCUUCCCAUUCUAGGAAGCCAAUGAUUGUCUUUCUAUCAUUAGAGACUAGUUUGCAUUUUUAAGCAUUUUAUAUGAAUGGAGUAAUACAAUGCAUACUCUCAUUUUGUCUGGCUUAUUUCACUCAGUGUAAGAGAUGUCUCAAACCUGUUGCCAACAGUUUUGCAUCAAUAGUUAAUUCUUUUCAUUGCUGAGUAGUAUUCCAUUGUAUAGAUGUAUCAUAAUUUAUCUGCUUACACACUGAUGGACAUUUGGAUUCUUUCCAGUUUUUGGCUAUUAUCAUAAAAGUUUCUUGAAGAAUUUUAUAAAAGUCUUGGUAUGAAUAUUUUCAUUCAUUUCUGCUGGGUACAAACUUAGGAGUGGAGUGUCUGGAACAUAUGGUAGAUGCAUGUUUAACAUUUUAAGAAACUGCCAAAUCAUUUUCCAAAAUACAUGUAUUACUAGGAUAAGUUAGAGUGAAUUAUCUCCAUACCCUCUUGAAAUAGGUUGACCAUGUCAAUCUAUUUUUAUGUAGUCAUUAUACUGAGUGUGCAGUGGUAUGGCCAUGUCAAUCUAUUUUUAUGUAGUCAUUAUACUGAGUGUGCAGUGGUAUGGCCAUGUCAAUCUAUUUUUAUGUAGUCAUUAUACUGAGUGUGCAGUGGUACCUAAUUUUGGUUUCAGCGACUAAGGGGUUGAGC